CUUUUGAAUAAGCUUCAAGAUUAUAUAAUCAAACCAGGAAGUAGGUGGGACUUUCAUAGUGUAUUACAACAACAAAGAAGUUACUUCAAACAACGAUCACUGUUUUUUUUUCUCUCUGACAUCAUUGCACAUAAUGGCAUGCGCGAUAGAACAGAAGAGUAUGAACAAAACGUUUUUAUUUUUUUUACCAUGAUGCUGGAUUCUCCUCUGUUUCUUCAACAAAAACCAAACAAAAAAGAAUGCAACGGAGUGAACAGUGGCACUGUUUCACCGUGGGGGGAAUUCAGACCCAGGAUACAGACACGUCUGCAACAAAGCCCUAAAGAGGAGGAAGGGAUUCCAAAUUGGGUCAAGUUCUCUAUGGAGAUUGGUGGUGAUAGAUGAAUCCAAGUUCUCGCACAAGAGAAAGUACAAUCGUCGAAGGAUGGUGCCAACAUGGAGAAGACAGGGUUGGGUGUUUGGGGUGAUGGAGGUCAAACACAACAGACGGUGCCCAGUUCUUAAAAUGGUGGAAAACCGUUCACAGGAAACCUUAAUCCCUAUCAUCAGACGACAUUUGCGAAGAGGUUCCACCACCCAAAGUGACUGCUGGAGAGCGUAUGUCAGGUCUAUGAAUAGGGUGGGUUACAAUCACCAGACAGUCAACCACACAAACAACUUUGUGGAUCCUCACACAGGAUGUCACACACAACAUGUUGAAAGAGGGUGCCAGACAAUAAAGGGGCAGGUCUGGAGGCUAAGGGGCAAUCAGACCAAAAAAAGUUUAAAGAAGCAUCUCCAUUUUAUUAAGUGAUGUACUGGUUGGGUAAAAAAAAGGAGUACUCUCCACUCUUCAAAGACAUCCGAUUAGUAUAGUAGCUGUGAGAUUUUCACUCUCAACAUGCACCCCCUAGAGGAAAUGGAGCCGGGAGUACCCGGUGCCGGGUACUUUGCUGCCUCAAUUUAAAUAGCGGUCCAUACCGGCCCUUUAAAUACACGCAACCCCUGCAGGCUCUAUUUUGAUGAAAACAACAGAAUCUCAACAUUUCAUUUAUAUCAACCAAUACGAUGUCUUUG
RNAcentral lists this long non-coding RNA (1056 nucleotides) under Salmo salar (Atlantic salmon). Its description in RNAcentral is "lncRNA (ENSSSAG00000115606.1)". The record is from RNAcentral. Lineage: Eukaryota; Metazoa; Chordata; Actinopteri; Salmoniformes; Salmonidae.